RNAcentral lists this ribosomal RNA (554 nucleotides) under uncultured bacterium. RNAcentral describes it as "bacterial SSU rRNA". It matches the Rfam family "Bacterial small subunit ribosomal RNA", at positions 777 to 1329 of the family's 1533-position model. The record is from RNAcentral.
AAUAGAUACCCGGGUAGUCCACGCCGUAAACGAUGAGUGCUAAGUGUUGGGGGGUUUCCGCCCCUCAGUGCUGCAGCUAACGCAUUAAGCACUCCGCCUGGGGAGUACGGUCGCAAGACUGAAACUCAAAGGAAUUGACGGGGGCCCGCACAAGCGGUGGAGCAUGUGGUUUAAUUCGAAGCAACGCGAAGAACCUUACCAGGUCUUGACAUCCCGGUGACCACUAUGGAGACAUAGUUUCCCCUUCGGGGGCAACGGUGACAGGUGGUGCAUGGUUGUCGUCAGCUCGUGUCGUGAGAUGUUGGGUUAAGUCCCGCAACGAGCGCAACCCUUAUUCUUAGUUGCCAUCAUUUAGUUGGGCACUCUAAGGAGACUGCCGGUGAUAAACCGGAGGAAGGUGGGGAUGACGUCAAAUCAUCAUGCCCCUUAUGACCUGGGCUACACACGUGCUACAAUGGACGGUACAAACGGUUGCCAACCCGCGAGGGGGAACUAAUCCGAUAAAACCGUUCUCAGUUCGGAUUGUAGGCUGCAACUCGCCUACAUGAAGCCGG